RNAcentral lists this transfer RNA (74 nucleotides) under Phycisphaerales bacterium. RNAcentral describes it as "tRNA-Met". It matches the Rfam family "tRNA". From Rfam's summary of the family: Transfer RNA (tRNA) molecules are approximately 80 nucleotides in length. Their secondary structure includes four short double-helical elements and three loops (D, anti-codon, and T loops). Further hydrogen bonds mediate the characteristic L-shaped molecular structure. tRNAs have two regions of fundamental functional importance: the anti-codon, which is responsible for specific mRNA codon recognition, and the 3' end, to which the tRNAs corresponding amino acid is attached (by aminoacyl-tRNA synthetases). tRNAs cope with the degeneracy of the genetic code in two manners: having more than one tRNA (with a specific anti-codon) for a particular amino acid; and 'wobble' base-pairing, i.e. permitting non-standard base-pairing at the 3rd anti-codon position. The record is from RNAcentral. Lineage: Bacteria; Pseudomonadati; Planctomycetota; Phycisphaerae; Phycisphaerales.
GGCGAUGUAGCUCAGUUGGUUAGAGCGAGGGAUUCAUAAACCCUAGGUCGCUGGUUCAAAUCCAGCCAUCGCCA